RNAcentral lists this transfer RNA (66 nucleotides) under Pseudocalotes microlepis (Burmese false bloodsucker). RNAcentral's name for it is "tRNA-Gly". Lineage: Eukaryota; Metazoa; Chordata; Lepidosauria; Squamata; Agamidae. The record is from RNAcentral.
GCUGCCCUAGUACAACAAGUACGGUUGACUUCCAAUCAUCAAAUCUUAGUACCCUAAGGGGCAGUA